Orussus abietinus is the source of this 1813-nucleotide long non-coding RNA. RefSeq lists it as uncharacterized. The transcript has 5 exons. The record is from RefSeq and is a predicted model, not a curated record. Lineage: Eukaryota; Metazoa; Arthropoda; Insecta; Hymenoptera; Orussidae.
CCCAUAUGUUCAAAAGACACGGGAUCAGGACACCUUGGAUCCAUCCCAGCUUGAUGCCACCGUGACUCGAUUGGCCAGCUCCAAUUAAUCCUGCUUCGACAUUGGUGUCCUAAAAAAUGAAGAACCUCCUCGUGUAACUCGGAGGACGAAGCUACCAGGGUGAUGUCACAUUGCAGAAAUUAUCCGAGUUAAUGGCACCGGUAAACCUUGGUAACACGAGGUGCACUAAACGGAACGGGAUCCUCGCGCGCUCAGUUUCCGGAAGCCGUCAUCGAACUUAGGAUUUGUCAUACGCUGAUAUGGAUUAUGCCUCACCGAGCUAACCCUGGAAAUCGGUGAAUUCAAUUGAAAGCCGAGUCUUAACCGGAUCAAACCGAGCCGGCAAUUUCACCCAAGUGGUUCCAGCGAGCGGAGACCUCGGUCUGGAAGGAGACCACCGAAUCCUCCUCACCAGGCUACCCAGGGUACAUCUUAUCAUCCCAGCCUGACAAUACCAGUGAUAUCGAGUACCGAGCGAAAGAAUCAAAAAAUGUCUUGGACCAAAGUGUCUCAUCGCACGACGGAGGACAAGAGGUCUGCAGAUUUGGGUUCGCGAUGAGAGUACGUGCACCAUCGGAUGCAAGAGUUCGUCAGCGGAGUCGAAGACCGAGGCUACACGACAUUCUGUGGAUUUUAUCAAGCGGAUUAGUUGAUCGUCCAGGCUCGAUCGAGCUCCCCACCCAUAUGGAAGGAUCGAAGAUUCGUAGGUGCGCCGUUUUCCACCCAGGAAAAUCGAGCCCAAGGAAAAUACCGGCAAUUAGCGAUUAUCCUCCGUCAGCGCGCGAAGACCUCGGGGAAGACAUUGACGACGUGGCGGACCUGGAAGAUUGCGAAAUCAGCGACGAACCGGAAAAGGGCGAAAUUAAUUAGCCCGGCCUGAUUUUUUGGUCGAGGUGCGAUCGCAAGGACUCCUAAUUGGAGCGGAAUUGCAGGAGGCGUGGGUAGAGCUUUUAACUUCGUGUUUACUCUGGGCUGCGGUCUGCGCGUGGCUGGCCUGCUAGGAGAGCUCGAUUUUAUGCGUUUUCGAGAGGUAUCUAUAUAAAGCAUAACGAAUUUACAUCUCGAACGGUUUCGACGAAAGGCGGCCAGCGGGGAUUCGCCGGUCACGGGGAAAAAUGGCAUCUGGUCGCGGCCUCAUCCCAAGGACCUCGGCAAAAGCGCCGUUUCUUGGGAGUCCUUCCGGAGUUCUAGGAAUUAUUCCUGGAAAUCCAGUACUCGUUUUCAAAGGCCUUGGAAUAAUUUAAAGUCCUCCGUAAGAUUGCGUUAUCGGGGAUUAUUUAUUAAGAAUUGGCGGGGACGCGUGAGAGGUGCGCGCGCAGCUCGUGAUCGCUUCUUCCGAAAUGCGGCUGGCAGCAGCUGCCGGCUUAAUUCCCUCGGAGUGGAAUGGUUUCUCGAAGGCUUGGGACUCGCGCGAGUUCCCUUCGGCUGUGCAAGCCGACCGACCCGGUCCUCUCGAGAUCCAACAGCCAAGAUCCAGUUCGAUCCAGUGCGAUCCGGCGAGUCCGGGGCCUCCUGGAUCGCGGACGGCCGACGGAAGGAUCCUCGAGUAUCCUCGGGCAUCCUCGGGAAUCCUCGGCCCUCUUCGCUGCCCCUCGCGCAAAACCGGCCGAGAAUUCCGGACAUCGCCGGCUGCCGAGAAACGCCCUUCGACGUUGCGACAUGCAUCGAGAUUAACGGAUAAACCGAUAAGCAAUCCAAAAACUGAUGUACUUGCGCUACUUAUAUAAUAAACUGUAAAAUAAUGAGUGUAAUAAAGCAAGUUAUUCAAUGAUAA